RNAcentral lists this ribosomal RNA (2557 nucleotides) under Candidatus Accumulibacter cognatus. RNAcentral's name for it is "23S ribosomal RNA". It matches the Rfam family "Bacterial large subunit ribosomal RNA". The record is from RNAcentral. Lineage: Bacteria; Pseudomonadati; Pseudomonadota; Betaproteobacteria.
GUUAUAGGAUCAAGCGAAUAAGUGCAUGUGGUGGAUGCCUUGGCGAUUACAGGCGAAGAAGGACGUACAAGCCUGCGAAAAGCUCUGGGGAGCUGGCAAUGAAGCUUUGAUCCAGAGAUGUCCGAAUGGGGAAACCCACUCCGCAAGGAGUAUCCCACGCUGAAUAUAUAGGCGUGAGGAAGCGAACCCGGCGAACUGAAACAUCUCAGUAGCCGGAGGAAAAGAAAUCAACCGAGAUUCCCAAAGUAGUGGCGAGCGAAAUGGGAACAGCCUGCAAGUGAUAGCGAUUAGGUUAGCGGAAGCCGCUGGAAAGUGGCGCCAUAGGGGGUGAUAGCCCCGUACGCGAAAACGUGGUCGUGGUACUAAGCUUGCGACAAGUAGGGCGGGGCACGAGAAAUCCUGUCUGAAUAUGGGGGGCCCAUCCUCCAAGGCUAAAUACUCGUAAUCGACCGAUAGUGAACCAGUACCGUGAGGGAAAGGCGAAAAGAACCCCGGGAGGGGAGUGAAAUAGAUCCUGAAACCGCAUGCAUACAAACAGUGGGAGCCCCUUCGUGGGGUGACUGCGUACCUUUUGUAUAAUGGGUCAGCGACUUACGUUCAGUAGCAAGCUUAACCGCAUAGGGGAGGCGUAGGGAAACCGAGUCUGAUAAGGGCGAUAGUUGCUGGACGUAGACCCGAAACCAAGUGAUCUAUCCAUGGCCAGGAUGAAGGUGCGGUAACACGCACUGGAGGUCCGAACCCACUAAUGUUGAAAAAUUAGGGGAUGAGCUGUGGAUAGGGGUGAAAGGCUAAACAAACUUGGAAAUAGCUGGUUCUCUCCGAAAACUAUUUAGGUAGUGCCUCAAGUAUCACCGACGGGGGUAAAGCACUGUUAUGGCUAGGGGGUCAUCGCGACUUACCAAACCAUUGCAAACUCAGAAUACCGUCGAGUGCGAGCUUGGGAGACAGACAUCGGGUGCUAACGUCCGGUGUCAAGAGGGAAACAACCCAGACCGCCGAUUAAGGUCCCGAAGACAUAGUUAAGUGGGAAACGAGGUGGGAAGGCUCAGACAGCCAGGAGGUUGGCUUAGAAGCAGCCAUCCUUUAAAGAAAGCGUAAUAGCUCACUGGUCGAGUCGUCCUGCGCGGAAGAUGUAACGGGGCUCAAACUAUGCACCGAAAUCGCGGAUAUCCGAAAGGAUAUGGUAGGAGAGCGUUCUGUAAGCCGAUGAAGGUGUCCUGAGAAGGAUGCUGGAGGUAUCAGAAGUGCGAAUGCUGACAUGAGUAGCGAUAAAGGGCGUGAAAAGCGCCCUCGCCGAAAGCCCCAGGUUUCCUGCGCAACGUUCAUCGGCGUAGGGUGAGUCGGCCCCUAAGGCGAGGCUGAAAAGCGUAGUCGAUGGGAAACAGGUCAAUAUUCCUGUACCUCUUGGUAAUGCGAUGGGGGGACGGAGAAGGUUAGGUCAGCCGGGUGUUGGACGUCCCGGUUCAAGCGUGUAGGCAGGUCUCUUAGGCAAAUCCGGGAGAUCAAUGCUAAGGCGUGAUAACGAGUGGCUUUAUGCUGCGAAGUGAUUGAUACCCUGCUUCCAAGAAAAGCCUCUAAGCUUCAGUUACCCAGAGACCGUACCGCAAACCGACACAGGUGGGCAGGAUGAAAAUUCUCAGGCGCUUGAGAGAACUCAGGAGAAGGAACUCGGCAAAUUUGCACCGUAACUUCGGGAGAAGGUGCGCCCUGAUAGGUUGUAGCCCCUCGCGGGUGAAGGCUGAAAGGGUUGCAGUGAACUGGUGGCUGCGACUGUUUAAUAAAAACACAGCACUCUGCAAACACGAAAGUGGACGUAUAGGGUGUGACGCCUGCCCGGUGCCGGAAGGUUAAGUGAUGGGGUGCAAGCUCUUGAUCGAAGCCCCGGUAAACGGCGGCCGUAACUAUAACGGUCCUAAGGUAGCGAAAUUCCUUGUCGGGUAAGUUCCGACCUGCACGAAUGGCGUAACGAUGGCCACACUGUCUCCUCCUGAGACUCAGCGAAGUUGAAAUGGUUGUGAAGAUGCAAUCUCCCCGCGGUUAGACGGAAAGACCCCAUGAACCUUUACUGUAGCUUUGCANNNNNNNNNNNNNNNNNNNNNNNNNNNNNNNNNNNNNNNNNNNNNNNNNNNNNNNNNNNNNNNNNNNNNNNNNNNNNNNNNNNNNNNNNNNNNNNNNNCCCAAGGGUAUGGCUGUUCGCCAUUUAAAGUGGUACGUGAGCUGGGUUUAAAACGUCGUGAGACAGUUUGGUCCCUAUCUGCCGUGGGCGCUGGAAAUUUGAAGGGGGCUGCUCCUAGUACGAGAGGACCGGAGUGGACGAACCUCUGGUGUACCGGUUAUGACGCCAGUCGUAUUGCCGGGUAGCUAAGUUCGGAAGAGAUAAACGCUGAAAGCAUCUAAGCGUGAAACUCGCCUUAAGAUGAGAUUUCCCCGGGGACUUGAUCCCCCUGAAGGGUCGUGGUAGACCACCACGUUGAUAGGCUGGAUGUGGAAGCGCAGCAAUGCGUUAAGCUAACCAGUACUAAUUGCCCGUGCGGCUUGAUCCUAUAACCUUGAGCAG